CCUACGGGAGGCAGCAGUAGGGAAUAUUGCUCAAUGGGGGAAACCCUGAAGCAGCAACGCCGCGUGGAGGAUGAAGGUUUUCGGAUUGUCAAAUCCUUUUGUUAGAGAAGAUAAUGACGGUAUCUAACAAAUAAGCACCGGCUAACACCGUGACAGCAGCCGCGGUAAUACGGCGGGUGCAGGCGUUACUCGGAAUCACUGGGCGUAAAGAGGGCGGAGGCGGGAUAGCAAGUCAGAUGUGAAAUCCUAUGGCUUAACCAGAGAAUUGCAUUUGAAACUGUUAUUCUAGAGUAUGGGAGAGGUAGGUGGAAUGCGUGGUGUAGGGGUAAAAUCCGUAGAGAUCAAGAGGAAUACUCAUUGCGAAGGCGACCUGCUAGAACAUAACUGACGCUGAUGCGCGAAAGCGUGGGGAGCAAACAGGAUUAGAUACCCGAGUAGUC
Molecule: ribosomal RNA, 440 nt
Filed under: uncultured bacterium
Lineage: Bacteria
Description: partial 16S ribosomal RNA
Rfam family: Bacterial small subunit ribosomal RNA
Source: RNAcentral